CUCUGUGACUCCUACGGGAGGCAGCAGUGGGGAAUAUUGCACAAUGGGGCGCAAGCCUGAUGCAGCCAUGCCGCGUGUGUGAAGAAGGCCUUCGGGUUGUAAAGCACUUUCAGUUGUGAGGAAGGUGGUGUCGUUAAUAGCGGCAUCAUUUGACGUUAGCAACAGAAGAAGCACCGGCUAACUCCGUGCCAGCAGCCGCGGUAAUACGGAGGGUGCGAGCGUUAAUCGGAAUUACUGGGCGUAAAGCGCAUGCAGGUGGUUUGUUAAGUCAGAUGUGAAAGCCCGGGGCUCAACCUCGGAACUGCAUUUGAAACUGGCAGACUAGAGUACUGUAGAGGGGGUAGAAUUUCAGGUGUAGCGGUGAAAUGCGUAGAGAUCUGAAGGAAUACCGGUGGCGAAGGCGGCCCCCUGGACAGAUACUGACACUCAGAUGCGAAAGCGUGGGGAGCAAACAGGAUUAGAUACCCUGUAG
This 472-nucleotide ribosomal RNA is filed under the name uncultured bacterium. RNAcentral's name for it is "bacterial SSU rRNA". It matches the Rfam family "Bacterial small subunit ribosomal RNA", at positions 328 to 793 of the family's 1533-position model. The record is from RNAcentral.